RNAcentral lists this ribosomal RNA (1305 nucleotides) under Holanthias chrysostictus. RNAcentral describes it as "partial 16S ribosomal RNA". It matches the Rfam family "Bacterial large subunit ribosomal RNA", at positions 568 to 2564 of the family's 2925-position model. Lineage: Eukaryota; Metazoa; Chordata; Actinopteri; Perciformes; Anthiadidae. The record is from RNAcentral.
AAGCAGAGAUCAAACCUCGUACCUUUUGCAUCAUGAUUUAGCCAGUGUAAACCGAGCAAAGAGCGCUUUAGUUUGAUAACCCGAAACUAAGUGAGCUACUCCAAGGCAGCCUAUUUACUGGGCGAACCCGUCUCUGUGGCAAAAGAGUGGGAUGAACUUCGAGUAGAGGUGACAGACCUACCGAACUUAGUAAUAGCUGGUUGCCUAAGAAUUGAAUACAAGUUCAGCCUCCAGGCUUCUUUCUUCCCCCUUAGUACACCUUCAUUACGAUAACAAGAAAACCAGGAGAGUUAGUCAAAGGAGGUACAGCUCCUUUGACCUAGGACACAACUUUUACAGGAGGGUAAAGAUCAUAUUUAUUAAGGCAUAAUACCCCUGUGGGCCUAAAAGCAGCCACCACAACAAAAAGCGUUAAAGCUUAGGUAUAUAACUCACCCCUCCCAAUUAUGAUUAAUAAAUCUUAUCCCCCUAGUCUUACUAGGCUAUCCUAUGCAAACAUAGGAGUAACUAUGCUAAUAUGAGUAAUAAGAAAGCUCACGACUUUCUCCCCGCACACGUGUAAAUCAGGAUGGACCACCCACUGAACAUUAACGGCCCCCCGCAAAGAGGGCAUUGAGUAAUUAGCAUAAAAAACUGGAAGACCACUCAAUAAGUAACCCCGUUAACCCCACACUGGAGCGCCCCCAGGGAAAGACUAAAAGGAAGAGAAGGAACUCGGCAAACACUAAGCCUCGCCUGUUUACCAAAAACAUCGCCUCUUGUAAAUCUAAAAAUAAGAGGUCCCGCCUGCCCUGUGACUCGAGGGUUUAACGGCCGCGGUAUCUUGACCGUGCGAAGGUAGCGCAAUCACUUGUCUUUUAAAUGGAGACCUGUAUGAAUGGCAUAACGAGGGCUUAACUGUCUCCUCUUUCCGGUCAAUGAAAUUGAUCUUCCCGUGCAGAAGCGGGAAUAUGUACAUAAGACGAGAAGACCCUAUGGAGCUUUAGACACAAGAGCAAAACAUGUCAAGCACCCCUCAUCAAGGAUAAGAACCAGAUGUUACACUUGCCCUAAUGUCUUUGGUUGGGGCGACCGCGGAGUAAAAUACAACCUCCGCGUGGACCGGGAGCACCCCUAAACUCCCUCCUAAAGCCAAGAGCCACAUCUCUAAGCAACAAAACUUUUGACCUACAUAGAUCCGGCAAUGCCGAUCAACGAACCGAGUUACCCUAGGGAUAACAGCGCAAUCCUCUUUAAGAGCCCAUAUCGACAAGGGGGUUUACGACCUCGAUGUUGGAUCAGGACAUCCUAAUGGUGCAGCCGCUA